Esox lucius (northern pike) is the source of this 802-nucleotide long non-coding RNA. Lineage: Eukaryota; Metazoa; Chordata; Actinopteri; Esociformes; Esocidae. The record is from Ensembl.
CUGACUGUAGCUUGCAAGUUGUCAGUUCCUGUCCACAGCUAAAAGUCGUUAUUGUACUUCCAAGUACCGGGACAAAUAGUUAACGUUGUGUCAAGCCAAGCCAACGAUGUUUGAAAUUGGUGGACGUUUUUUAAAUUAUUGAUAUUCCAGUUUUCUUAAAAGGAUGGAAGAUAAGCGACACAACUUUGCUAACUAGGGACAGAGCAGCCAAACGGCAAACAGACAACGAUGAAGCCGGACAGACAGGACUUGUAGACAGACAUGGACUCAAGGUCAUUAAGAAGUGGAGCCACCUCUGGCUAGUACUAUUGGCAACAGGAACCAGAACCAAUACAUCAGAAGAAAAACUGGACAUUUGUGAUUUCCUGGAAGCAGCAACGUGACUGUUGGAAGCAGCAACGUGACUGUUGGAUCCAUACUGGACUAACUUGGAGUAACAUUAGAAACAUGAUGUUCAUACCCUCCGAUGUAAAGACACUUGCAAUUCUAUGGGACUAUUUUGGACCAUGUGGUGGAUAAUGUCAAUCUGGUUUUGAUAGCCAAAGUCUAGGUUGGGGAAUUGUGGUUGAGAUUUCCCCCACAUGGUCUCAGCUUACAGCCCUCCUGGGCUCUAGGCUGCAGAUAACGUCUGUCUAAAACUAUGCACUUGGGUCACAGUCAGUUUAUAAUGGAGAAGUCAAAGAAAAAGGUGGAGAUCACGCAAGGCGAUCUAGAUAACAUUAAAAAAAACUCACUUUUGUGAUUGACAUUGAGUACAGUGGCUUCAGAAAGUAUUCAGACCCCAUCACUUUCACUACAUUUG